Ictidomys tridecemlineatus (thirteen-lined ground squirrel) is the source of this 1092-nucleotide non-coding RNA. Lineage: Eukaryota; Metazoa; Chordata; Mammalia; Rodentia; Sciuridae. The record is from RefSeq and is a predicted model, not a curated record.
UUGAGUGGGCCCACAGUGAGCGCGAGGGCCGCCCAAGGUGUCUUGCAAAUGGCUGAUAGCCUCGUUCAGGGUUCGGAUAUAUCUUCUGUUGCACCCUAAACCAAUUCUGCAUCUGUUGCUCCUCUAGGCCGAGGCUGGAGGCCAGGGCCAUCAGGGUACCGUCCUUCAGGAAGUCUGCCUCCAGCUCCUGCAUCUGCUGCUUGCUGAGGAUCAAAAUAGACCAAUCCGAGGCCGAUGGGUCCAGCAUAUUGUGAAGGCUUUCGAUCUCAUCCAUGGCAAUGGAGGCUCCAUUCAGAAGAAUGGAAGCCUCCAACUUUCCAUCCUCGAGUCUCAGCCUCCUGGGUAGGAGAGAUUACAGUGUGACUGCAAGAACUGGUAACUGAGGACGCUGUGGGUGCAUCGCCUCCGCAACACCAGGACGGACAGAAAGUCAUCCUGAGCUGAAAAUGAUCUGACUGAGAUGAGGCAGAACAUCACGGUGGAAGACAUCAGUGGUGGAGGAAAGCCACAAAGAUCAUGGCGGUCAGGAAAGAGAAAGAGGAGGAGGGAAAAAAAGAAGAAGAAAAGGAGGAGGAGAAGGAAGAGGAGGACGAAGAGAAAAGAGAGAAAGGGGCUGGGAGACAAGAAAUGCCCUUCCAGGGCAAGCCCCCAGGGACCUAUUUCCUUCAACCAGCCCCACCACCUACAAUUUCCACCACCUUUUAGUAGUUCAUUAGGCUAUAAGUGGAUUAAUCCACUGAUGAGAGCAGAGCCCUUAUGAUUCAAUCAUUUCCUAAAAGACCCACCUCUGAAUAAUGCUGCAUUGGAGACCAAGGCUUUAACACACAUGAAACUUUAGGAGAUAUUCUAAAUCUAAACCAUAAGAAUCACUCCGGUGAUAAGGGCUUCUCCAGCCACUUUACAGAACCAAACUGAGAUAAUGGUCAACCAAACCACAGAUUAACCAAGACUGUUCAAUUAUGCAUGUCUCUGUACCAAUUAUUCCUCUAUUUAUUUAUUUAUUUAUUUCACAUCAAUGCUGCAAAGACAGGACUGAGACUCUUGAUCUGUUUCCCUGUACAGCCCUGUUGAUUAAAAUUUCUUUCCGGCCUU